UACUUAGUAUAUUUAAUGUUCUUCUUUUACAACCUAUCGGAGAUUGAAUGGAUGAAACACUAUUAUUGUCUUUAUGCAGCAAUGUGUCCAUGAUAGUUUUCACUUUUUAAAAGAUUCUACUUCCCCGUAUACUUAUGUCUCUUAUGUUAUCCUCUUGUGUUUUAUCUCUAAUUUAUCUUCCUGGUUACACCAGCUCCUUGUGUCUUCGCUCCCCCCUUGUGUGUUUAUGAUGGCAGCUCCGCAUCAUGGUGCGAGGCACCGGUGGCUGCAGUAGGUGUAGAUGACGAGGAAGAGCCAGCUUUGUGGCCUUGCUGCACCCACGUCAGCUUUUCAUUACUCCAUAUACGGACAUUAGGUUGAUGUUGUUGCAUAUGCAAAUAAUUGGUUUGUUAUCCAUAGUUCUUCUACUUCAGAUUUGAUGCUAGGUGCCUUAGAGCUUAUACUAGAUGAUACAAAGGGGUUACCUAGCUUUCUUUCCGUGGGCAUACGUAUCUUGUGCCUUAGAGCUUAUAUAGCAUAUUUUGUGCCCCAUAAUAUUUUACAGAAUUCUUUGCUGAAAGUUUGAAUAAAAAUGUCGUAAGAAUCUGGAUAAAAGAAAGUGGAAUGAAUAUAUAUGUAUAUUCCAUGGGCAGGAUAUCUAACGGGAACCAUUUAAAUUAUGAUGGUCGUAUUCUAUAACUACAAUUAAGGAGUAUUUUAGCACAUGUUGCUUAUAAAAUUCUUAUCUAAUUAUACUUAGAAUUUCUUUUGGCAGCUCCUUUUUGUUUAGUUGUUUCGUAAGCACACAAAUAGUGCAUUCUUGACAACCUCUUUCUCCCAUGCAGUGAACUGGGGAGGCAUCACAUAAAUUACAAAUAUUUUCAUUUUUCCUUGAUUUAUAGAAGAAUAGAAUGUUGCACGUUGCUUCUAUGGUGUAUCACCCAAUGUAUAGCUUCCUUGAUUUUAUUUUGUUUCAGCUAGUGGCAUGGUAUUCUGCCAUGUACCACUGUUUUUAUUUAUAGUUUGCAUGUCCAUUGAAAAGACUAAAUCAUUUACUCUGUUUCUCUUGGUCCAGUGAAAGACCAAAUCCAUGUGUAGCUGUUCUGGCUUUGUGGUGUGCAUCAUCUAGCUGAAAUAAUGAAAUGAUGUGAGAUUAUGUUAGAGCUUGCUGGUGUGAUGCUUGUCAAUCGUGCUAUGCCGUUGUCUGCUGAAUUCUGGUUGUACAUCGAUGCAAAUGAACAUGGACACAACUUAUUCUAUACAUUUUAUUAAAAAUUCAAACCGCUGAACAUGAUCACUUCCAUAUCUCUGAAAUUUUAUGCUUUUGGUUUCCAAUGGUAUUUGGUUUCUGUACACUGCAAGCCCCACGAUGCUAAUUGAAAUAUCCUUUAUCAUGUUGCAGAUGCUUAGCAAAUUCUUUUGCUGCUACCUGAUCAUAAUCAUCUAAUUUUUUACUCCUUUCAUUUCUGACCAUAAUCAUCUAAUUUUUUACUCCUUUCAUUUCUAUAAGAAUGGCUGGAAGAGAGUUAUCCUGCAUGGGCACAUAGACCAGGAUACAUUGUACAUUGUAUCUCAGGAUAUAGCAACAUGAGGUGAGGUUUACGGGAAACACAAAAGAGGGAGCUAAAGGUACGCAUCCUUCUAUUUUUUUGGAAGGGUACCCCUUUUCUCGUCAGUGAUAAUGAAUUCUCUUCAGCUGCUUUGGCAUGAAAUCGUAUUCAAGGCAGCUUAGAGAAAAUAUCAUGUUCUCUAAUUGUCGUGUAUAAUAUUAACUGGGGAUUUUGACUUGCAGAUGUUCAAGUUGGAGGAUGUUAUCCAAUGAGAUGAAGAAUGAAGGUUUUGAUGUCAAGUAUGAGAAUGAUGCAAGGAUCUGCAUCUUGGUGGAAGGAUGUGAGGAUGGGGCUGUAGUUUCCCACUAGAAGGCAGGCAAAUGAUGUGCCUUGAGACAAAUUGCCGAAAACAAAGCGAGGAAUUUAAUUAGUUACAUUAGUUUAUAGGAAACUUGGAUGGUCAUUAGUUCAUAAUAGAUGAACUAUUUAUAUGUAAAAAUUAAUGCAUCUGUGUUGUUUAUAUGUGAAUUGUUUGGUUCUGGUUCAAUAUUGUUGGAAGACAUGCACUUCACUAUUAUGAGUUAGGCAACUUGAUUAAUAUUCUGUUGGUAAUGUGAAAUCCAGCUAUGGGAGGGCUAGGAGAUGUUGGUCGGCAAAACUGAACCCCAUCUGAUAGUUGGUCGGUAAAAGCUAAUGACAGGCCCAACAAUAUGUUGGUCGCGAAAUAAUACCCUAUCUGAUAGUCAGUCGGGAAAACCCAUGGCAACCCUGACAGAUAGUUGGUUGGGAAAAGUUUACCAUGUCAGAUAAUCGGUCGGGAAAGGCCCAUGGUAGCCCCAAUGAACCGUUGGUCAGGAAAGGCCCAUGUCAGGCCCAACAGAUUGUUGGUCGGGAAAGAUACCUAAAGCCAACAAGCAGUCGGUCAGGAAAGGGCUUUCCCGUCUGGACUUUCCCCAACAGAGGACGUUGGUCGGCAAUAGUCUUUCCCAACAGUCUGUUUGUCGGCGAAACUUGUAUUCCCGACCAGCCUGACUGUUGGGAAUGUAGUGUUGUGGUGUAGUGUAUGUCGCUAGAGCUUCGAGGGGCCCACGAGGUAGGGGGCGCGCACAGGGGGGGCCUCCACCCUCGUGACCGCCUCGUGGCUUUCUCGACGGAGGGUCCAAGUCUCCUAGGUCUUAUCUGAUGAGAAAAUCACGUUCCCGAAGGUUUCAUUCCGUUUGGACUCCGUUUGAUAUUCUGUUUCUUCGAAAUACUGAAAAAGGCAAGAAAAAACAACAAUUCUGGGCUGGAAAAUAAUAUAAAAGUGGAAAAUAAAGCCCAAUAUAGUCCAAAACAGUAGAUAAAGUAGCAUGGAGCAAUCAAAAAUUAUAGAUACAUUGGAGACGUAUCAGUUACCAUUUUUCGUUUAAGAAUUUUGAUGUAUUCACAUCUUGUUGAAUUGCUUUGACUCAUGACUUGGAGUAAAGCUUCUCUAAGAUGGAAUAACAUACCUUGGGUGGUGGUGUUGAUCGUGAUCAUGUAGUUGAACUUGUGUGGGUUGCUCAAGGUUGAUGUAGCUCAUCAAGAGUUGGGAGCACCACUUGGAAUUGGAGUUCAUCUACCUACAUGGAUUAGAUUUGCAAGGAAAAGCACUUGUGUAUCCAAAAUGACAAUCAUGAAACUUAAUAUAGAAUUUGUCAAAGGAUAUGAUUGAAGGGUUUCGUGCUUCCUUGUCUUCAACCACCAUUGUGUAGAGACUUGGUGAUGUAGAGAUUGCUCAAGAUGUGAGUGAGAUGCAAUCUCAUAGAUUUAGAUUCAUCCAAUUACCUACAAGGGUUAGAUACCAUGCAAGGGUGCAAAUAUAUCCAAGAUAUAUGAUUAUCAUCAUAAGAGAAACAUCAAGGAUUAGUCAUAGGCUCAUGUCUUGCAUGUAUCCAAAUGGAGUUCCUACUCCAAGUUUGAAGCAUCGAUGAUGUUCAAUUCACCUCUCAACCUACAAAACACUUUCUCAUCAAGUGGUUUAGUGAAUAUACCUGCUAAUUGCUUAUCGGUGCGAACAUGCUUAAGGUUAAUGUCCCCUUUGGCAACGAGAUCUCGAAUGAAAUGAUGACGAACUUCAAUAUGCUUAGUUCGAGAAUGUUGCACAAGAUUGUGAGCAAUCUUGAUAGCACUUUCAUUGUCACAAAGCAAUGGAACAUGUUUCACAUAUAUCCCAUAAUCUUUAAGAGUUUGGGUCAUCCAAAGUAAUUGAGCACAAUAUGAACCAGCGGCAAUGUAUUCCGCUUUGGCGGUGGAUAAGGAUACCGAGUUUUGUUUCUUGGAGGACCAAGACACAAGAGAUCUACCAAGAAAUUGAUAAGUACCCGAAGUGGACUUUCUAUCAACCUUGUCACCGGCAUAGUUCGAGUCGGAGUAGCCAACAAUAUUAAAAGAGGCCCUCUUAGGAUACCAAAUGCCAAAGUUUGGUGUAUGGAUUAAGUAUCUCACUAUCAUUUUCACGGCCUUAAGAUGACAUUCUUUAGGGGCCGCUUGAUAUCGUGCACACAUGCACACACUUAGGAUAAUAUCGGGACGAGAGGCACAUAGAUAUAACAAUAAACCAAUCAUGGAGCGGUAAACCUUUUGAUCAACCGGUUCACCAUCUUUGGUCAAAUCAAGAUGUCCACUAGUAGGCAUGGGUGUAGUCAUACCUUUGCAUUCUUGCAUAUUGAACUUCUUGAAUAAGUCCUUGGUGUACUUUGUUUGAGAGACAAAGGUACCUUCCUUAGUUUGCUUGAUUUGCAAACCAAGAAAGAAUUUGAGUUCACUCAUCAUAGACAUCUCAAACUUCUUCGACAUUAGCUUUCCAAACUUUUCACUAAAGUGAGGGUUAUUUGAACCAAAUAUAAUAUCAUCCACAUAGAUUUGGCACACAAAUAGUUCUCCUUUAACCCUUUUAGUAAAAAGAGUAUAAUCAUUUUUUCCAAUUUCAAAGCCUUUUUCAAUAAGGAACUUGGUCAAGAAUUUAUACCACGCUCUAGGAGCUUGUUUAAGACCAUAAAGAGCUUUGUGAAGUUUGUAAACAUGAUUGGGUUUCUUAGGAUUGACAAAGCCGGGAGGUUGCUUAACAUAAACUUCUUCCUCUAUUUCACCAUUUAGAGAAGCACUUUUAAUGUCCAUUUGGUACAAGGUGAUAUCAUGCUGAUUAGCAUAGGCAAGUAAUAUGCAAAUGGACACAAGUCUAGCAAUGGGGGCAUAUGUCUCACCAUAGUCCAUACCUUCGACUUGAGUGUAGCCUUGGGCGACGAGACGUGCUUUGUUGCGAACUACUUGUCCAUCUUCAUCUUACUUGUUGCGAAACACCCAUUUGGUACCGAUGAUGUUGUGGUUGUUGUCGGGCUUCUCGACCAAUGUCCACACUUGGUUUAUCUCAAAGUUGUGUAGCUCUUCAUGCAUAACAUUUAUCUAAUCCAGAUCUUCCAAUGCUUCUUCAACCUUCAUGGGUUUAAUGCUAGAGAUGAAUGAAUAAUGUUCACAAAAGUUAGCCAAAUGAGUUUUAGAGCGAGUGAUUCUCCCGGUUUGGAUAUCAUUGUAGAUUUGCUCGACGGGAUGGUCUUUGGCAACUCUUGCUCGAAAUCGUGAAAGAUUUUGCUUGGAUCUUGGUGGAACAUCUUCUUCAUCUUGUUCUUCUUCUUGGCCUUCUUCAAUGUUGACAUUGUCAUUCUCUUGUCGUGGUGGAGAAGGAGGUUGUUGAUGUUCAUCUUGGUGUACUUCCUUGUUUUCUUCGUCUUGGUGUGUCCCACUUGUGGAUGCUUCCGUAUCAACUCUUGGUUCACCUUGCCAUGAGGUGGAAGCUUCCACUUGGACGGACGGGGUACUCUCCUUCACCUCCGUUGGACGAAUCUUGGCAAUAGACAAGUCUUGGAUUGCUUCCGAAGGGUCUUUGUCUCCUACAUUAAUUGGCAACUGCUCUACUUGCGAGCUGUUAGAUUCAUCAAACUUCACAUCUACCGUCUCUUCAACCUUUCUGGUGAAAUUAUUGUAGACACGGUAAGUGUGAGAGUUUGAGCUGUAACCAAGUAGGAAACCUUCAUGAGAUUUAGGAGCACAUUUAGAACGACAAUGCUUAUCAAGAAUGUAGCACUUUGAGCCGAAUACUCGAAAGUAUCCAACUUGGGGUUUGUUACCAGUGACGAGCUCGUAUGUUGUCUUGCCGAGUAGCUUGUGAAGAUACAAGCGAUUUGUUGCAUGACAAGCUGUCUCAACCGCUUCCAUCAAAAAGUGCUUUGGCGUCUUGUACUCAUCAAGCAUCAUUCUCGCCAUUUCGAUGAGUGUCCGGUUCUUCCUCUCAACAACUCCAUUUUGUUGAGGUGUGUACAUAGCCGAGCACUCAUGUGAAAUCCCUUCUUCAUCAAGAAAGGUGUCCACAUUUGCGUUCCUCAACUGCAUUCUGUUGUCGCUGUGAACCUUCUUGAUCUUCACUUCAAAUUGAUUUUGAGCCUUCCUAGCAAACUUUUUGAAGAUCUUUUGGACCUGCAAUUUGUCAUCAAGAAAGAACACCCACGUAUAUCUUGAAAAAACAUCAACUAUAACUAGACCAAAAGAAUUUCCACCGAGACUUUUGUACGCGUUGGGACCAAAAAGAUCCAUGUGAAGUAGCUCGAGUGGCCUCCUUUUGGUCGUGAUGUUCUUCACGGGAUGCCUUCCUCCAACCUUUUUACCCGCUUGACAAGCGCUGCAACGUCUAUCCUUAUCAAAUAUGACAUUGUUAACGCCAAGGAUAUGAUUUCCUUUAAUAAGCUUAUCAUGGUUUCACAUGCCCACAUGACCUAACCGUCUAAGCCACAACCAACCUUUAGAGGAUUUAGCAAUUCAGUAAGUUCUAGGUUGAGCCUUUUUAGUGAAAUCAACAAUGUAAAGAUCACCUCUAUGUAUACCGGUAAAGACCAUUUUAUGAUUAUCUCUACGAAACACUUGGCAAUCUACUUCAAUAAAUAGGACAUUGAAACCGAAAUCAACAAGUCUAGAUACUGAACGUAAAUUGUACCCAAGAGAUUCAACGAGCAUGACAUUUUGUAUGGAGCUAUCAUGUGAGAUGGCCACCUUACCGAGGCCAACCACCUUACCCUUUGAGUUAUCACCAAAAGUGACAUACUUUCGAGGUCCAUCGUUUUCAGCAAGCUCACGAAACAUAUCUUUAUCUCCGGUCAUGUGGUCGGUACAUCCACUAUCAAGGACCCAUUCCUUUCCUCCUGCCAUGUAUCCCCGAAGAUUUGCCAUAAUACCAAAGUGUCUCAUUGCAUCAUCAAGAUCAAAGUCACUAUCAUCAUCCUUAGCAUAGUAUCCAUGUUCAACAUCGUCAUGUGAUGGAUCAAUUCCUAGAGAGGGUGGUUCAUUAGAAUGAGUAUGACAAUGAUCUUCUUUAUGAAUUCUAAUAGCUUCGGAAAUAAUAUCGCUAAUAAUUCCAACAUCUCCUUUGGCACGCAUGAGAUUUGUAAGUUCAAAUAGACAAUCACCAAACUUAGGAUCAUUGGAAUUCAUCUUACUCAAGGCAAUAGACUUAUGGAGAAUUUCAUCUAGAUUUUGCAAGGGAUAGUUUGGAAAACGUUCCUCAAGAAAUUUCCAUAUAGUGUAGGCGGAACCAAGAGUAGGCAAACAUCCAAUCAAGUUUCUAGGCAAGUCUCUAGUGAUAAGAUUAACAGUUCUACGAUUUCGGAUCAUGUCAAUUGACUCAUCAAGGGUAGGAUGCAUAGGAUCAACAUGAGGUGCACAAGGGCUAGUAAUGUACUUGUUCAAAUGAUAUUCAUUGAAAAUCAGAAGCAUCUCAUUUUUCCACUCAUGAAAGUACUCUCCUUCAAGUAUCGGCACUCUAUGUCUAAGACUCCCCAAAGUAGACUCAUCCAUGUUCCUCCAAUGGUGUUUAAACCAAAGCAAUGGAGACCAAAGCUCUGAUACCAAUUGAAAGGAUCAAGAAGAGGUGCAGACUCUAUGUGAGAAAAGUUGCAGUUUUCAAUUUCUUUAAGUUGAAGUGGAGGUUGGCACAAGUUUCAACAUUCACAAUACAUAUCAAGCAAGCAUGACAAGAGUAUAUGGGCAGCAUAAAGUAAAGCAUGCAAAUUGCCAGAAUGUAAAGGGAUGUGAUUGGAGUGUGCAAACGCAAUUUGGAGACACAGAGAUUUUUUAUCUGUGGUUCCGAUAGGUGGUGCUAUCGUACAUCCACGUUGAUGGAGAUUUCAACCCACGAAGGGUAACGGUUGCGUGAGUCCACGGAGGGCUCACCCACGAAGGGUCCACGAAGAAGCAACCUUGUCUAUCCCACCAUGGUCGUCGCCCAUGAAGGACUUGCCUCACUAGGGUAGAUCUUCACGAAGUAGGCGAUCUCCUUGCCCGUACAAACUCGUUGGUUCAACUCCACAAUCUUGACGGAGGCUCCCAAGUGACACCUAGCCAAUCUAGGAGACACCACUCUCCAAGAAGUAACAAAUGGUGUGUUGAUGAUGAACUCCUUGCUCUUGUGCUUCAAAUGAUAGUCUCCCCAACACUCAACUCUCUCUCACGGGAUUUGGAUUUGGUGGAAAGAAGAUUUGAGUGGAAAGCAACUUGGGGAAGGCUAGAGAUCAAGAUUUAUGUGGUAGGAAUGGAAUAUCUUGACCUCAACACAAGUGUAGGUGGUUCUCUCUCAGAAAAUGUAUGUUGGAAGUGUAGGCAUGUUCUGAUGGCUCUCUCCACGAAUGAAGAGUGGGUGGAGGGGUAUAUAUAGCCUCCACACAAAAUCUAACCAUUACACACAACUUCCCAAACUCGGUGGGACCGAAUCAUGAAACUCGGUCGAACCAAUUAGUAAAUAAUGUGACCGUUAGGAAUUUUGGUGGGACCGAUAUGGUUAGGGUUAGGGCAUAACGUAAUCUCGGUGAGACCGAUUACACAAACUCGGUGAGACCGACUUUGGUAAUAGACACACAGAGUUGGUCAGGCAAACUCGGUAGGACUGAUUCGCUCAUCUCGGUUUGACCAAAACGUUACGAAAGGGAAACAGUGAGUUUGCAUUGCAAUCUUGGUGGGACCGAUCGCUUAUCUCGGUUUGAUCAAAAUGUUAUGAAAGGCAACAGAUAGAUUACAAUUCCAUCUCGGUGAGACAGAGGUCCCUAUUGGUGAGACUGGAAAGACUAGGGUUUCUGGCAGUGGCUAUGUCAGCUGAACUCGGUGGCACCGGAUAGAAAGUUUCGGUAGGGCCGAGUUUGACUUUUGGUUUGGGACAUAUGUGGAUGUGAGAAAGUGGUUGAGGGCUUUGGAGCAUAUUAAGCACUUUGAGAAAGAAAGCCAUUAAGCAACACCUCAUCCCCUCUUAAUAGUAUUGGCUUUUCCUAUGGACUCAAUGUGAUCUUGGAUCACUAAAAGUAAAGUGUAGAGUCUUGUGCUUUGAGCUUGAGCCAAUACUUUGUCCUUAGCCUCUUGAAGGGGUUCCACAUCCUUUAGUCCAUGCCACUCCAUUGUUGAACUUAUCUGAAACAUACUAGGUAAAAGUAUUAGUCCAACAAGAGAUAUGUUGACAUUAAUUACCAAAAUCACCCAGGGAGCACUUGUGCUUUCAGGGGGAUAUUGUUUCUGACCACCGGUGUUCCGCUGACGGGGCUCAUCAUCGUCUUCGCUUGGGGGCCCUUUGCCCUUGUGUUCGGUAUUUAACUUAUCGGCCUGUUUGAAAACCCAACAGCUCCUGUUGGUAUGAUAUUCAUACUUACCGGGUGUGCCAUGAAUCUGACAGAGCCUCUCAAGGAUUUUAUCUAAGUUGGAUGGCCCGUCUUUGCCUUUGAAAGGUUUCUUCUGCUGACCGGACUUCGGACCGCUUAAUCUGGCAUUGACUAUCAUAUCAUCUGCGCCGUCGUUGCUACUUUUCUGAUGUUUGUUUUUAUUGCGGUGGGGUUUACCAGUUGUCUUCGCCCGCACAGAAGUGGGUCAUGAGUGCCGUUAAUGCCGCCAUGGUCUUCGGUUUUUCCUGCCCAAGGUGUCGGGCGAGCCAUUCGUCACGGACGCCAUGCUUAAAGGCCGCUAAGGCUUCGGCAUCUGGACAGUCUAUGAUCUGGUUCUUUUUAGUUAAGAACCAAUUCCAAAGCUUGCCGGCUGAUUCACUUGGCUGCUGAAUUAUGUGACUCAAGUCGUCAGCAUCCGGUGGCCGGACAUAAGUGCCCUGGAAGUUAGCCCUAAAGGCAUCUUCCAAGUCUUCCCAGGUUCCAAUGGAGUUUUCUGGGAGGUUGUUUAUCCAGUGUCGUGAUGGUCCUUUUUUUACGGGGAGAUAUUUAAUGGCAUGGAGAUCGUCUCCUCGAGCCAUAUGAAUAUGGAGAAGGAAGUCUUCAAUCUAGACGGCCAGAUCUGUCGUUCCAUCGUAUGGUUCGAUGUUUACGGGUUUAAACCCUUCCAAAAACUGAUGUUCCAUAACCUCAUCAGUAAAGCAUAAGGGAUGUGCAGCUCCUCUGUAUCUAGAGAUGUCGUGGCGGAGAUCGGCUGGCAUCUGGGUUCGGGACUAAUCCCGAACAUAGUAGCGGUCGUCACGCCGGGCUUCAUAGCCAUUAUCUCGUGCCGGGGCAUGCCCCCUUGAUCCAUAGAUUGAUCUAGUCUGACCAGCUUUAUAGGCUAUGUCACGUUGCAAGUCGUAUGUAUAUCACACGGCUGCAGUUUCCCUGCCUCUUCGGCAAGGGGGUGAGGGUUGGUGUUCGGCCUGAUAUGCCACUUUAUCCCAUCCAUGUCGUGGUCGGUCUGGUUGGUCUGUCUGAUUGUAUUUCGACGGUAUUGGUUCAAGGACUUCGUCAUCGAAUUAAGGCAGCAGCUUGCGCCUAGGGUAACUUUUGACAGGUCGGUCUUGGUUGUAUUCCUCGGCGGCGAGGACCUUAGUACACCUUUCAUUCAGUGUGUCUUGCUCUUCUUUGAGUUGCUGCUGCUUCCUCUUCAGGCUCCAAGCUAUAGCAAUAAGCUGUCGCUUGAAGCGUUCUUAGUUGAGGGGUUCCUCUUGGACAAUGAAGUCCUCAUCACCGAGGCUGACCUCCUCGCCGGAUUCUGGCAUGUAGUUGUUGUCUUUCGUAUCUUUGCUGUCAGCGCGUCCAGGGCUAUAUUCACCUUCUUCCCGCUCGUCCUGUUCGGAUGUGGUCUCGAUAAGGUGUUCAUUAUCUUUAGCGCCAUCCGGAGUCUCAUUGUCUCCGGUGCCGGUAUUACUAUCCUUCUCCCGAUGCGAUCGGGAGUGACGCCGCUGACAUCGGCGCUUUGGUGGUUUAUCGACAGGUCUAUCCUCAUCUGGGCUUGGGUUCUCCUCGUCGUUCUUCAAAGUGUCCACCAUGUAUACAUCGUAUGUUGAGGUGGCCAUCCAACACCCUGUAACGGGUGGGACUUGGUUUUGUUCGGCGUCGGCAUCAUCGUCCAUGCCGUCGAUGUCUUCGGACGCAUAAUCCAGCAUGUCGGUUAAGUCCUCGAUAGUGGCUAUCAAGUGGGUGGUUGGUGGGGCGUAAAGUUCCCCUCUCUCAGCCCCCAGUCCAGGUUGGGUGCAGUUCGGAGGUAAAGCCUCCGUGAUGGCGAGAGACUGCAUCAGACCCAACGCUUCAUCUAAGAGACGGCUGGUUUUGAUUAACUCUGUCCUCACAAAUAUGGUUCUCAAUAUGCUUUCUUUCUUCCAACUCCCAAAAGGGGUCCUGCAAAGACUGGACUAUUUUAGAUCUAGAUUCUUUUGGCAAGGAGAUGGUGAAAAGAAAAAAUAUAGACUGGCCAAAUGGAGUGUGGUUUGUAGGCCUAAAGACCAAGGUGGCCUUGGAAUUCAUGACAUGCAAAUCAAGAAUGAGGCCCUACUUAGUAAAUGGUUGUUUAAACUUCCUACUGAGGAUGGUGUUUGGCAAACCAUGUUGCGCAACAAGUAUCUAGGCCAAAAGGCAAAGUCUCAGGCAUAUUGGACACCUGGCGACUCGCACUUUUGGGCUGGCCUAAUUGCGGCAAAGAAACAUCUCUUUCGCUUUGGGUAUUUCGCGAUAAGGGACGGGUCGGAGGUUCGUUUCUGGGAAGACAUCUGGCUAGGCAAUGCCAGUCUUCGAGAACAAUAUCCAGCCCUGUACAACAUUGCUCACGAAAAGAAUAAUACUAUUGCGCAAGUGCUCAGUUCAUCCCCACCUAAUAUUUCGUUUAGGCAGGAUUUGAUUGGCCCCCGACUUAUGUCAUGGCACAAUCUUUUAUCCUCUAUGGUUUCGAUUAAUAUUAGACAAGGCCGGGAUGUGAUUCACUGGAACCUUACUACAUCAGGGUCAUUCACAGUAGACUCUAUGUACCGUGCACUCAUGCAUUCUGAGGUACCGGUGAGUAACAAUAAGAAAAUCUGGAAGUCGAAGAUUCCACUAGAAGUUAAAAUCUUCAUGUGGUAUCUUCGUAGGGGAGUUGUUCUAACCAAAGACAACCUCGCAUGACGCAACUGGCUAGGGAGUAAGAAGUGUUGUUUUUGUACUCAUGAAGAUACAAUCAAACACCUCUUUUUCCAAUGCAAGUUUGCACGUACUACAUGGUCAAUCAUCUAAAUAGCGUCAAAUUUGUAUCCGCCCACAAGUGUCACCAAUAUUUUUGGUCAUUGGUUGGACGGUAUUCCAAAUAGAUUCAAAAAUGCUAAUAUGGGUGGGAGCAUACGCCUUACUAUGGUCGCUUUGGCUAUGUAGAAAUGAUUUGGUUUUCAAUGAUAAAAUGCUUCUCCUUUGUAGGUUAUUUUUCGUUGUACGCACUCGCUUCGUACGUGGUCUACGCUACAACAAGUGGAGUACCAACCGCUGUUCAAGGCGGUGUGUACGCGGUUGGAGCAGGUGGCUACGGUGGUUUUUACCCAACAUGGGUGGCAGCAUAAUCUCUGGAUCGGUCCACCAUCCCUUGCGACAUAGGCAUAGUGUCGAUCUAUAGGACUCUACUAUCGCCGAUUUGUCGUUUUUUUUUCAUUCAUUUUGUCAGACUUUCCGUGUUGGGCUGUGUGCAUCCUAGUUAUGCAGAGGCCGGGUGUUACUCAUAAUGUUUUGUAUCCGCUUGAUGCUACAUUUCGAGAUAAUAAAAGUGCCCUUUAUCGAAAAAAGAGCGGGAGCGGGAACCGCGGGUCUGCCGCGAUGUGUUCGGCUUGGAGCACCUGAUCGGAUCUGCUAAGUGCAGACCUCGGCAGCUCGAAGCGGUUGCCCAGAGCCAGGUUUAAGCCUGCGUUUGGGUCUUUGGAAGGAAGUUCGAUAAGGGGAAGAAGUCCGGCGGGCUUUACACUCUCGUCUUCGAAUGAUGAGACCUGUCCCAGAUCUAAGGCUGAGGUGAGUGCUGGUGUUGACCCCUGGACUAGAUCCGACAAGGGGAUCCGAAGAGUCUUCUUGGAUGGGAUGCGGAGUGGCGGCCGAGGCCGCGAACCCAUCCAAGACCAAGUCUCCUCGAAUAUCAGCAACAUAAUUCAGGUUUCCAAACCUCAUCUAGUGUCCGGGGUGUAACUAUCGACCAUCUCAAAGCACAAAGCCACCGAACAGAAAAAUCUGUCCAGGAAGAAAAAUCUCCUUGGACGCAGUGUCACCAUUGACGAAGAGGCGAGCCAUUGAUCCUUCUGUCGACGAUACAGUGGAGCUCUCAAUGAAAGCACCAAUAUUGGUGUCAAAACCGGCAGAUCUCGGGUAGGGGGGCCCAAGUUGUGUGUCUGAGGAUCAAUAGUAACAAUGGAGAAUGGAUACAGUGUUACCUAGGUUCGGGACCUCUUAAUGGAGGUAAAACCCUACUCCUUCUUGAUUAUAUUCGAGGGUAUAGGGGUUAGAAGAGUUGAUCUACCACGAGAUCGAUUCGGCUAACCUUAGAUAGCUAGCCUAGCAAUGUUAUGCUCCUGCCUCCGACCUACCCUCCGAUUUAUAUAGACAUCGAAAGGGCUUAGGGUUGUACAAAGUCGGUUUUACAUAAAGGAAUAAGAUAUCCGGACACCUAUACUUGCCAUCCACGCAUGUGAGAGUCCCUACGGGACACGAGGGAUAAUCUUCCAUCUUGUAUCUUGACGGCUCAUCAGUCCGGCCCACAUCAAUAGACCGGACGCCUGAGGACCCCCUAAUCCAGGACUCCCACAAUGAGGAGGAGGGGGCCGGGGUCCUCGCUAUUUAAAGGAGGCCGGUGGGUGCUGCUUGCGGGAGGGGGCGAGGGCUGUUGGAAAUAUGCCCUAGAGGCAAUAAUAAAAGUAUUAUUAUAUUUCAAUGUUCAUGAUAAAUGUCUUUUAUUCAUGCUAUAACUGUAUUAUCCGGAAAUCGUAAUACACGUGUGAAUACUUAGACCACAAUAUGUCCCUGGUGAGCCUCUAGUUGACCAGCUCGUUGUGAUCAACAGAUAGUCAUGGUUUCCUGACUAUGGACAUUGGAUGUCGUUGAUAACGGGAUCACAUCAUUAGGAGAAUGAUGUGAUGGACAAGACCCAAUCCUAAGCAUAGCAUAAAAGAUCGUGUAGUUCGUUUUGCUAGAGCUUUGCUAGUGUCAAGUAUCUCUUCCUUCGACCAUGAGAUCGUGUAACUCCCGGAUACCGUAAGAGUGCCUUGGGUGUAUCAAACGUCACAACGUAACUGGGUGACUAUAAAGGUGCAUUACAGGUAUCUCCGAAAGUAUCUGUUGGGUUGACACGGAUCGAGACUGGGAUUUGUCACUCCGUAUGACGGAGAGGUAUCUCUGGGCCCACUCGGUAAUGCAUCAUCAUAAUGAGCUCAAUGUGACCAAGGUGUUGGACACGGGAUCAUGCAUUACGGUACGAGUAAAGUGACUUGCCGGUAACGAGACUGAACAAGGUAUUGGGAUACCGACGAUCGAGUCUCGGGCAAGUAACGUACCAAUUGACAAAGGGAAUUGCAUACAGGGUUUGAUCGAAUCCUCGACAUAGUGGUUCAUCCGAUGACAACAUCGAGGAGCAUGUGGGAGCCAUCAUGGGUAUCCAGAUCCCGCUGUUGGUUAUUGACUGAGAGCGUCUCGGUCAUGUCGGCAUGUCUCCCGAACCCGUAGGGUCUACACACUUAAGGUUCGGUGACGCUAGGGUUAUUAGGAAGACUAGUAUGUGACUACCGAAUGUCGUUCGGAGUCCCGGAUGGGAUCCUGGACGUCACGAGGAGAUCCGGAAGGGUCCGGAGGUAAAGAUUUAUAUAUGGGAAGUUGUCAAACGGACACCGGGAAGUUUCGGGGUCAUACCGGUAUUGUACCGGGGCCACCGGAAGGGUUCCGGGGGUCCACCGGGAGGGGCCACCCCUCCCGGGGGGGCACAUGGGCUGCGUGGGGCAGGGAGCCAGCCCCUGGUGGGCUGGCCGCACCCCCCUCCCUUGGGCCCAUGCGCCUAGGGUUGAGGGGGAACCCUAGAGGGGGCGCCCCCCUUGGCUUGGGGGGCAAGCCACCCUCUCCCCUCUCCCCUAGGCCGCCGCACCCCCCCUAGAUGGGUUCUAGGGGGCCGGCCCCCUUCUCCCUUCCCCCUAUAAAUAGAGGGGUGAGGGGAGGGCAGCCGUACCACCCUCCAAGGCGCAGCCCUCCCCUCCCCAACACCUCUCCUCCUCCGUUGUGUGCUUGGCGAAGCCCUGUCGGAGUACUGCCUCUCCACCAUCACCACGCCGUCGUGCUGCCGGUGGAGCUGUCUUCCUCAACCUCUCCUUCCCCUUGCUGGAUCAAGAAGGAGGAGACGUCUCCCGUCCCGUACGUGUGUUGAACGCGGAGGUGCUGUCCGUUCAGCACUUGGUCAUCGGUGAUUCGAAUCACGUCGAGUACGACUACAUCAUCACCUUGCAAGCUUCCGCACACGAUCUACAAGUGGUAUGUAGAUGCAAACUCUCUCCCUUGACUCGUUGCUUAGAAGAACUCAUAGAUGGAUCUUGGUGAAACCGUAGGAAAAAUUUUAAUUUUUUGCAACGUUCCCCAACAGUGGCAUCAUGAGCUAGGUCUAUGCGUAGUUCUCUUUGCACGAGUAGAACACAAUUUUGUUGUGGGCGUGGAUUUUGUCAUCUUACUUGCCUCUACUAGUCUUUUCUUGCUCAACGGUAUUGUGGGAUGAAGCGGCCCGGACCAACCUUACACGUACGCUUACGUGAGACCGGUUCCACCGACUGACAUGCACUAGUUGCAUAAGGUGGCUGGCGGGUGUCUGUCUCUCCCACUUUAGUUGGAGCGGAAUCGAUGAACAGGGCCCUUAUGAAGGGUAAAUAGAAGUUGACAAAAUCACGUUGUGGUGAUUCGUAGGUAAGAAAACGUUCUUGCUAGAACCCAAUUGCAGCCACGUAAAAGAUGCAACAACAAUUAGAAGACGUCUAACUUGUUUUUGCAGCGAUUGAUCAUGUGAUGUGAUAUGGCCAGAAGUUGUGAUGAAUGAUGAAUUGUGAUGUAUGAGAUCAUGUUCUUUGUAAUAGGAUUCACGACUUGCAUGUCGAUGAGUAUGACAACCGGCAGGAGCCAUAGGAGUUGUCUUUAUUUUUUGUAUGACCUGCGUGUCAUUGAAUAACGUCAUGUAAACUACUUUACUUUAUUGCUAAACGUUAGUCAUAGAAGUAGAAGUAGUCGUUGGCGUGACAACUUCAUGAAGACACGAUGAUGGAGAUCAUGAUGAUGGAGAUCAUGGUGUCAAGCCGGUGACAAGAUGAUCAUGGAGCCCCGAAGAUGAAGAUCAAUGGAGCUAUAUGAUAUUGGCCAUAUCAUGUCACAACUAUAUAAUUGCAUGUGAUGUUUAUUAUGUUUUGCAUCUUGUUUACUUAGGACGACGGUAGUAAAUAAGAUGAUCCCUUACAAAAUUUUUCAAGAAGUGUUCUCCCCUAACUGUGCACCGUUGCUACAGUUCGUCGCUUCUAAGCACCACGUGAUGAUCGGGUGUGAUGGAUUCUUACGUUCACAUACAACGGGUGUAAGACAGUUUUACACAGCGAAAACACUUAGGGUUAACUUGACGAGCCUAGCAUGUGCAGACAUGGACUCGGAACACGGAGACCGAAAGGUCGAACACGAAUGGUAUGGAAGAUACGAUCAACAUGAGAAUGUUCACCGACGAUGACUAGUCCGUCUCACGUGAUGAUCGGACACGGGUUAGUCGACUCGGAUCGUGUAACACUUAGAUGACUAGAGGGAUGUCUAAUCUAAGUGGGAGUUCAUAAUUUGAUUAGAACUUUAUUAUCAUGAACUUAGUCUAAAACCUUUGCAAAUAUGUCUUGUAGAUCAAUGCCCAACGCUAAUGUCAACAUGAACUUCAACGCGUUCCUAGAGAAAACCAAGCUGAAAGAUGAUGGCAGCAACUAUACGGACUGGGUCCGGAACCUGAGGAUCAUCCUCAUAGCUGCCAGGAAACAAUAUGUCCUAGAAGGACCGCUAGGUGACGCUCCCGUCCCAGAGAACCAAGACAUUAUGAAUGCUUGGCAGUCUCGUGCUGAUGAUUACUCCCUCGUUCAGUGCGGCAUGCUUUACAGCUUAGAACCGGGGCUCCAAAAGUGUUUUGAGCACCACGGAGCAUAUGAGAUGUUCGAAGAGUUGAAACUAGUUUUUCAAGCUCAUGCCCGGGUCGAGAGAUAUGAUGUCUCCGACAAGUUCUACAGUUGUAAGAUGGAGGAAAACAGUUCUGUCAGUGAGCACAUCCUGAAGAUGUCUGGGUUGCACAACCGUAUGACCCAGCUGAACAUUAACCUCCCAGAUGAGGCGGUCAUUGACAGAAUCCUCUAGUCGCUCCCACCAAGCUACAAGAGCUUUGUGAUGAACUACAACAUGCAGGGGAUGGAAAAGACCAUUCCUGAAGUGUUCUCGAUGCUGAAGUCAGCAGAGGAUGAAAUCAAGAAAGAACAUCAAGUGUUGAUGGUCAAUAAGACCACUAAGUUCAAGAAGGGCAAGGGUAAGAAGAACUUCAAGAAGGACGGCAAGGAGGUUGCCGCGCCUGGUAAGCCAGUUACCGGGAAGAAGUCAAAGAAUGGACCUAAGCCUGAGACUGAGUGCUUUUAUUGCAAGGGGAAGGGUCACUGGAAGCGGAACUGCCCCAAAUACUUAGCGGAUAAGAAGGCCGGCAACACCAAAGGUAUAUUUGAUAUACAUGUGAUUGAUGUGUACCUUACCAGUACUCGUAGUAACUCCUGGGUAUUUGAUACCGGUGUCGUUGCUCAUAUUUGUAACUCACAGCAGGAGCUGCGGAAUAAACGGAGACUGGCGAAGGACGAGGUGACGAUGCGCGUCGGGAAUGGUUCCAGAGUCGAUGUGAUCGCCGUCGGCACGCUGCCUCUACAUUUACCUACGGGAUUGGUUUUGAACCUUAAUAAUUGUUAUUUAGUGCCAAGUUUGAGCAUGAAUAUUGUAUCUGGAUCUCGUUUAAUACGAGAUGGCUACUCAUUUAAGUCUGAGAAUAAUGGUUGUUUGAUUUAUAUGAGAGAUAUGUUUUAUGGUCAUGCUCCGAUGGUCAAUGGUUUAUUCUUAAUGAAUCUCGAGCGUAAUAUUACACAUGUUCAUAGUGUAGAUGCCAAAAGAUUUAAAGUUGAUAACGAUAGUCCCACAUACUUGUGGCACUGCCGCCUUGGUCACAUUGGUGUCAAGCGCAUGAAGAAGAUCCAUGCCGAUGGACUUUUAGAGUCUCUAGAUUAUGAAUCGUUUGACACGUGCGAACCAUGCCUUUUGGGCAAAAUGACCAAGACUCCGUUCUCCAGAACAAUGGAGCGAGCAACCAACUUGUUGGAAAUCAUACAUACCGAUGUGUGCGGUCCAAUGAGCGUUGAGGCUCGCAGAGGAUAUCGUUAUGUUCUCACUCUCACUGAUGACUUGAGUAGAUAUGGGUAUGUCCACUUAAUGAAACACAAGUCUGAGACCUUUGAAAAGUUCAAGGAAUUUCAGAAUGAGGUAGAGAAUCAACGUGACCGAAAGAUAAAAUUCUUACGAUCAGAUCGUGGAGGAGAGUACUUAAGUCACGAAUUUGGUACACACUUAAGGAAAUGUGGAAUCGUUUCACAGCUCACGCCGCCCGGAACACCUCAGCGAAACGGUGUGUCCGAACGUCGUAAUCGCACCCUAUUGGAUAUGGUGCGGUCUAUGAUGUCUCUUACCGAUUUACCGCUAUCAUUUUGGGGAUACGCUCUAGAGACAGCUACAUUCACUUUAAAUAGGGCACCGUCUAAAUCCGUUGAGACGACACCGUAUGAAUUAUGGUUUGGAAAGAAACCUAAGCUGUCGUUUCUAAAAGUUUGGGGAUGCGAUGCUUAUGUCAAGAAACUUCAACCUGAAAAGCUCGAACCCAAGUCGGAAAAAUGCGUAUUCAUAGGAUACCCUAAGGAAACUGUAGGGUAUACCUUCUACUUAAGAUCCGAAGGCAAGAUCUUUGUUGCCAAGAACGGAUGCUUUCUGGAAAAAGAGUUUCUCUCGAAAGAAGUAAGUGGGAGGAAAGUAGAACUCGAUGAAGUACUACCUCUUGAGCGGGAAAGUGGCGCAGCGCAGGAAACCGUUCCUGUGAUGCCCACACCAACUGAAGAGGAAAACAAUGAUGAUGAUCAAGGUACUUCGGAUCAAGUUACUGCUGAACUUCGUAGGUCCACAAGGACACGUUCCGCACCAGAGUGGUACGGCAACCCUGUCCUGGAAAUCAUGUUGUUAGACAACAAUGAACCUUCGAACUAUGAAGAAGCGAUGGCGGGCCCGGAUUCCAACAAAUGGCUUGAAGCCAUGAAAUCCGAGAUAGAAUCCAUGUAUGAAAACAAAGUACGGACUUUGACAGACUUGCCCGAUGAUCGGCGAGCGAUAGAAAACAAAUGGAUUUUUAAGAAGAAGACGGACGCGGAUGGAAAUGUUACCAUCUAUAAGGCUCGACUUGUCGCUAAGGGUUAUCGACAAGUUCAAGGGAUUGACUACGACGAGACUUUCUCUCCCGUAGCGAAGCUGAAGUCUGUCCGAAUCAUGUUAGCAAUUGCCGCAUACUAUGAUUAUGAGAUAUGGCAGAUGGACGUCAAAACAGCAUUCCUUAACGGGCAUCUUAAGGAAGAACUGUAUAUGAUGCAGCCAGAAGGUUUUGUCGAUCCUCGGAACGCUAACAAAGUAUGCAAGCUCCAGCGAUCCAUUUAUGGACUGGUGCAAGCAUCUCGGAGUUGGAACAUUCGCUUUGAUGAGAUGAUCAAAGCGUUUGGGUUUAUGCAGACUUAUGGAGAAGCCUGCGUUUACAAGAAAGUGAGUGGGAGCUCUGUAGCAUUUCUCAUAUUAUAUGUAGAUGACAUACUCUUGAUGGGAAAUAAUAUAGAAUUUCUGGACAGCAUUAAGGCCUACUUGAAUAAGUGUUUUUCAAUGAAGGACCUUGGAGAAGCUGCUUAUAUAUUAGGCAUCAAGAUCUAUAGAGAUAGAUCAAGACGCCUCAUAGGUCUUUCACAAAGCACAUACCUUGAUAAGAUUUUGAAGAGGUUCAAAAUGGAUCAGUCCAAGAAGGGGUUCUUGCCUAUGUUACAAGGUGUGAGAUUGAGCUCGGCUCAGUCACCGACCACGACAAAAGAUAAAGAAGAGAUGAGUGUCAUCCCCUAUGCUUCAGCCAUAGGAUCUAUUAUGUAUGCCAUGCUGUGUACCAGACCCGAUGUAAACCUUGCCGUAAGUUUGGUAGCAAGAUACCAAAGUAAUCCCGGCAAGGAACACUGGACAGCGGUCAAGAAUAUCCUGAAGUACCUGAAAAGGACGAAGGACAUGUUUCUCGUUUAUGGAAGAGACGAAGAGCUCGUCGUAAAGGGUUGCGUCGACGCUAGCUUCGACUCAGAUCUGGAUGACUCUAAGUCACAAACCGGAUACGUGUAUAUGUUGAAUGGUGGAGCAGUAAGCUGGUGCAGCUGCAAGCAGAGCGUCGUGGCGGGAUCUACGUGUGAAGCGGAGUACAUGGCAGCCUCGGAGGCAGCGCAUGAAGCGAUUUGGGUGAAGGAGUUCAUCACCGACCUAGGAGUCAUACCCAAUGCGUUGGGGCCGAUCAAACUCUUCUGUGACAACACUGGAGCUAUUGCCCUCGCCAAGGAGCCCAGGUUUCACAAGAAGACCAGGCACAUCAAGCGUCGUUUCAACUCCAUCCGUGAAAAUGUUCAAGAUGGAGACAUAGAGAUUUGCAAAGUGCACACGGAUCUCAAUGUCGCAGAUCCGCUGACUAAACCUCUCUCGCGUGCAAAACAUGAUCAACACCAGAACUCUAUGGGUGUUCGAUUCAUCACAAUGUAACUAUAUUGGUGACUCUAGUGCAAGUGGGAGACUGUUGGAAAUAUGCCCUGGAGGCAAUAAUAAAAGUAUUAUUAUAUUUCAAUGUUCAUGAUAAAUGUCUUUUAUUCAUGCUAUAACUGUAUUAUCCGGAAAUCGUAAUACACGUGUGAAUACUUAGACCACAAUAUGUCCCUGGUGAGCCUCUAGUUGACCAGCUCGUUGUGAUCAACAGAUAGUCAUGGUUUCCUGACUAUGGACAUUGGAUGUCGUUGAUAACGGGAUCACAUCAUUAGGAGAAUGAUGUGAUGGACAAGACCCAAUCCUAAGCAUAGCAUAAAAGAUCGUGUAGUUCGUUUUGCUAGAGCUUUGCCAGUGUCAAGUAUCUCUUCCUUCGACCAUGAGAUCGUGUAACUCCCGGAUACCGUAAGAGUGCCUUGGGUGUAUCAAACGUCACAACGUAACUGGGUGACUAUAAAGGUGCAUUACAGGUAUCUCCGAAAGUAUCUGUUGGGUUGACACGGAUCGAGACUGGGAUUUGUCACUCCGUAUGACGGAGAGGUAUCUCUGGGCCCACUCGGUAAUGCAUCAUCAUAAUGAGCUCAAUGUGACCAACGUGUUGGACACGGGAUCAUGCAUUACGGUACGAGUAAAGUGACUUGCCGGUAACGAGACUGAACAAGGUAUUGGGAUACCGACGAUCGAGUCUCGGGCAAGUAACGUACCAAUUGACAAAGGGAAUUGCAUACAGGGUUUGAUCGAAUCCUCGACAUAGUGGUUCAUCCGAUGACAACAUCGAGGAGCAUGUGGGAGCCAUCAUGGGUAUCCAGAUCCCGCUGUUGGUUAUUGACUGAGAGCGUCUCGGUCAUGUCGGCAUGUCUCCCGAACCCGUAGGGUCUACACACUUAAGGUUCGGUGACGCUAGGGUUAUUAGGAAGACUAGUAUGUGACUACCGAAUGUUGUUCGGAGUCCCGGAUGGGAUCCUGGACGUCACGAGGAGAUCCGGAAGGGUCCGGAGGUAAAGAUUUAUAUAUGGGAAGUUGUCAAACGGACACCGGGAAGUUUCGGGGUCAUACCGGUAUUGUACCGGGGCCACCGGAAGGGUUCCGGGGGUCCACCGGGAGGGGCCACCCCUCCCGGGGGGCCACAUGGGCUGCGUGGGGCAGGGAGCCAGCCCCUGGUGGGCUGGCCGCACCCCCCUCCCUUGGGCCCAUGCGCCUAGGGUUGAGGGGGAACCCUAGAGGGGGCGUCCCCCUUGGCUUGGGGGGCAAGCCACCCUCUCCCCUCUCCCCUAGGCCGCCGCACCCCCCCUAGAUGGGUUCUAGGGGCCGGCCCCCUUCUCCCUUCCCCCUAUAAAUAGAGGGGUGAGGGGAGGGCAGCCGUACCACCCUCCAAGGCGCAGCCCUCCCCUCCCCAACACCUCUCCUCCUCCGUUGUGUGCUUGGCGAAGCCCUGUCGGAGUACUGCCUCUCCACCAUCACCACGCCGUCAUGCUGCCGGUGGAGCUGUCUUCCUCAACCUCUCCUUCCCCCUUGCUGGAUCAAGAAGGAGGAGACGUCUCCCGUCCCGUACGUGUGUUGAACGCGGAGGUGCUGUCCGUUCAGCACUUGGUCAUCGGUGAUUCGAAUCACGUCGAGUACGACUACAUCAUCACCUUGCAAGCUUCCGCACGCGAUCUACAAGUGGUAUGUAGAUGCAAACUCUCUCCCUUGACUCGUUGCUUAGAAGAACUCAUAGAUGGAUCUUGGUGAAACCAUAGGAAAAAUUUUAAUUUUCUGCAACGUUCCCCAACAAGGGCGAGGCGGCGGCGGAUCCCGUGGCGGCGGCGGACUCCGGCGGGAGUCUGGCUCGGAGACGAUGCGUCGGCGGCCUGGGCUGGCUGGGCUGGGCGCGGCCCAGUUCGGUCAGCCCGAACAUGUUUUUUUAAACAAUUUUUCCAGAGACAAAAACACACUAAAAAAUAUAAAUAAUAUCCUAAAAAUUCCAGAAAAAAUCACGUAGUAAUAUGGCCUUAUUAUUGACCUACUGAACAUUUUUCUGGGCCUAAAUGCCUAAACUAAAAACAAAUAUUACAGUAGUAAUUACUUUGCUAACUAAUAAAUAAACUAGCAAAUAAAAUCAAAUAAAGUCUCCAAAAAUUCAAAAUUCAAUUUCCAAUAUUUCUUUGCUGAUUUUGAAGAAGUCAUUUUAUCUUCUCUCUUUAUUUUAAAAUAAUUGGAAAAGAAUUUUGAAAAAACAAUUUGAUCCAAUUUACCAAAUUUUGAUAAAUCAACUUUAGAUUUUUGUGAAUCCUCCAACUCUCUCAAAUUGGUCCUUGAGUUGCUUAAGGCCUCUUGGAUCAAAAUGCAACUAAAAUAAAGCAACAAAAUGCAUAAAUCAUGGAUGCAUAUGAAUGAUCUAUGAAUAACAUCCAAAUUGAAAAUUGGGAUGUUAAAUAAAUCGGUCAAUAUGCCUAUAAACUGGCCGAUUUACCACUUAUCAUGGGUUGACCAAUAAGUUCACGAUAAGCGAUAUCCCCAACACUGAAAAAUGCACACAGGGGAAGAAGAAAUAUGCAAACAUCAACCAACAUAGAUGAUAAAAAAAGUGCGCAUGGGAAAGGCAGAAAUACACAAAUAUGCAACCAGAACAAAAAAACCUAGAAUAGAGUAAAUUAUAGCUAACACUGAAUUGAGGCGCAACACACUUAGCAAAGAUUCAAUUGCGAUGGAGAAUCAUGCAUGUAUCAUGACAGAACAGGAAGUUGAUACAUCUAUACGACAAGGACUGCAUGGUUAGCACACACACACAAAUCCUUAGACGCUAGGCGAAGUAUACGACAUUAUCAUUGUGUGAUAUCAGUAACUCAACAUAAGCGUUGUGUGUGUGAUUUUUCAUUAUCAACACAAUGAUUAAUUUACAGGUGAGAUAUGCAUUGUCACUAUAUAUUGACGGUCUAAUGUACAACAUCAUAUUGAAGUCAGACAAAAGCAUCAUGUGCACUCUUACUUCAAAAAUCCUUUGGAUUAGUAACUAAACUCUUAGAGAAUGUGCUUCAAAGUCGAGAAAAUGCACUCGACGAAAGUCCUCCAUGCACCCCUCUCUUCAACCACUGCCCCUCCACCUUGUAGCAACACAUAGGUGAUAACCCACAAGUAUAGGGGAUCACAACAGUUUUCGAGGGUAGAGUAUUCAACCCAAAUUUAUUGCUUCGACACAAGGGGAGCCAAAGAAUAUUCUCAAGUAUUAGCAGUUGAGUUGUCAAUUCAACCACAACUGGAAACUUAGUAUCUACAGCAAAGUGUUUAGUAGCAAAGUAAUAUGAUAGUGGUGGUAACGGUAACAAAAGUAAAGACAGCAAAAGUAAUGUUUUUGGUAUUUUGUAGUGAUUGUAACAGUAGCAACGGAAAAGUAAAUAAGCUAGAACCAGUAUAUGGAAAACUCGUAGGCACCGGAUUAGUGAUGGAUAAUUAUGCUGGAUGCGGUUCGUCAUGUAACAGUCAUAACAUGGGGUGACACAGAACUUGCUCCAAUUCAUCAAUGUAAUGUAGGCAUGUAUUCCGUAUAUAGUCAUACGUGCUUAUGGAAAAGAACUUGCAUGACAUCUUUUGUCCUACCCUCCCGUGGUAGAGGGGUCCUAUUGGAAACUAAGGGAUAUUAAGGCCUCCUUUUAAUAGAGAAUCGGAACAAAGCAUUAGCACAUAGUGAAUACAUGAACUCCUCAAACUAUGGUCAUCACCGGGAGUGGUCCCGAUUAUUGUCACUUCGGGGUUGCCGGAUCAUAACACAUAGUAGGUGACUAUAGACUUGCAAGAUAGGAUCAAGGACUCACAUAUAUUCAUGAAAACAUAAUAGGUUUAGAUCUGAAAUCAUGGCACUCGGGCCCUAGUGACAAGCAUUAAGCAUAGCAAAGUCAUAGCAACAUCAAUCUCAGAACAUAGUGGAUACUAGGGAUCAAACCCUAACAAAACUAACUCGAUUACAUGAUAAAUCUCAUCCAACCCAUCACCGUCCAGCAAGCCUAUGAUGGAAUUACUCACGCACAGCAGUGAGCAUCAUGAAAUUGGUGAUGGAGGAUGGUUGAUGAUGACGACGACGACGAAUCCCCCUCUCCGGAGCCCUGAACGGACUCCAGAUCAGCCCUCCCAAGAGAGAUUACGGCUUGGCGGCGGCUCCGUAUCGUAAAACGCGAUGAUUUCUUCUCUCUGAUUCUUUUUCUCCCCGAAAGCCAAUAUAUGGAGUUGGAGUUGGCGUCAGAGGGCCACCAGGGGGGCCACGAGGUAGGGGGGCGCGCCCUAGGGGGGCGCCCCCCACCCUCGUGAACAGGGUGUGGCCCCCCUGGCCUUCAUCUUUGGCAAGGAUUUUUUAUUAUUUUUUCUAAGACGUUUCGUGGAGUUUCAGGUCAUUCCGAGAACUUUUAUUUUCUGCACAUAAAACAACACCGUGGCAAUUCUGCUGAAAACAGCGUCAGUCCGGGUUAGUUCCAUUCAAAUCAUACAAGUUAGAGUCCAAAACAAGGGCAAAAGUGUUUGGAAAAGUAGAUACGACGGAGACGUAUCAACUCCCCCAAGCUUAAACCCUUGUUUGUCCUCAAGCAAUUCAGUUGACAAACUAAAAGAGAAAAAGAAAAACUUUUACAAAUUUUGUUUGCUCUUGUUGUUGUAAACAUGAAAAGCCAGCAUUCAAGUUUCAACAAAUAUUAUGAACUAACUAUACUAACAAUAACACAUAGGUCUCACAAUUACUCAUAUCAAUAGCAUAAUCAGCUUGCGAGCUAUAAUAAUAAAACUCGGAUGACAACACUUUCUCAAAAUAAUCAUAACAUGAUAUAACAAAAUGGUAUCUCGCUAGUCCUUUCCGAGACCGCAAAACAUAAAUGCAGAGCACCUUUAAAGAUCAAGAACUGACUAAACAUUGUAAUUCAUGGUAAAAGAGAUCCAGUCAAGUCAUACCCAAUAUAAACCAAUAAUAAUGAAUGCAAACGACAGUGUGCUCUCCAGCGGGUGCUUUGAAUAAGAAGGAUGAUGACUCAACAUAAAAGUAAAUGGAUAGGCCCUUCACAGAGGGAAGCGGGGAUUUGUAGAGGUGCUAGAGCUCGGUUUUGAAAUAGAGAUAAAUUAUAUUUUGAGCGGCAUACUUUCAUUGUCAACAUAACAACUAAGAGACGACGAUAUCUUCCAUGCUAAACAAAUUAUAGGCGGUUCCCAAACAGAAUGGUAAAGUUUAUACUCCCCCUCCUCCACAAGCAUCAAUCCAUGGCUUGCUCGAAACAACGAGUGCCUCCAACAUUCAACGGGUCCCAGGGGGAGUUUUGUUUGCAAUUACUUUGAUUUAGUUUGCAUAAAGCAUGGGACUGGGCAUCCCGGAGACCAGCCAUUUUCUCGUGAAUGAGGAGCGGAGUCCACUCCUCUUGAGAAUAACCCGCCUAACACAGAAGAUAAGGGCAGCCCUAGUUGACAUAUGAGCUAUUCGAGCAUGCAAACAGAAUGUUUAUUUGAAGGUUCAGAGUUGUGCACAUACAAAUUUACUUGGAACGGCAGGUAAAUACCGCAUAUAGGUAGGUAUAGUGGACUCAUAUGGAACAACUUUGGGGUUUAAGGAGUUGGAUGCACAAGCAGUAUUCCCGCUUAGUACAGGUGAAGGCUAGCAAAAGACUGGGAAGCGACCAAUUGAGAGAGCGACAACCGUCGUAAACAUGCAUUAAAAUUAAUUUACACCGAAUACAAGCAUGAGUAGGAUAUAAUCUACCAUGAACAUCAAUAUCAUGAAGGGUACUACAUGCGUGAACAUGUGCCAAGUCUAGUCACUCAAUUCAUUUAAAGGAGGAUACCAUCCCAUCAUACCACAUCAUAAUCAUUCUAAUAGCAUGUUGGCACGCAAGGUAAACCAUUAUAACUCAUAUCUAAUCAAGCAUGGCACAAGAAACUACAAUCUCUAAAUGUCAUUGCAAAUAUGUUUACUUCAUAAUAGCUGACUCAGGAACGAUGAGUCAUCAUAUUUACAAAAACAAGAGAGGUCGAGUUCAUACCAGCUUUUCUCAUCCCAAUAAGUCCAUCAUAUAUGAUCAUUAUUGUGUUUCACGUGCACGACCGAACGAUGUGUAUAAUAAUAAGAGUGCACAUGCAUUGGACUAAGAUGGAAUCUGCAAGCAUUCAACUCAAGAGAGAAGACAAGUAAUAUGGGCUCUGAGUUAAAUAAACAAUCAUGCAUAUAAGAGCCACUAAGCAAUUUAAUCAUGGUCUUCUCCUACCGACCCCCAAAGAAAAGAAAAGAAAUAAAAACUAUUUACACGGGAAAGCUCCCAACAAGAAAAAGAAGAACGAGAAAUAUUUUUGGGUUUUCUUUUUAAUUACUACAAGAAAGAAAUAAACCACUACUAAUUUUUUGGUUUUUUUCUUAAGGUUUAUUAAAGGGACAUUUACAUCUGUGCCCCUAACUCGAACCCACUACUCAGAUUUGCCCCUAAUUUUAAAGCAUGCUCAAAUUUGCCCCUCCGCCGUUAAGUCACUACUCAGAAAUGCCCUUCCGUACAGUACUGUAGCACUUUCCGUCCAAUACUGUAGCACUUUCCGUCUGCUAUAGUACACAUGGGCCUUUGACAGUCAAAGGCCUUUGACUGGACGGAAGGGCAUUUCUGAGUAGUGACUUAACGGCAGAGGGGCAAAUUUGAGCAUGCUUUGAAAUUAGGGGCAAAUCUGAGUAGGUGGUUCGAGUUAGGGGCAGAAAUGCAAAUGGCCCUUCAUUAAACACACAAGAAGAAAGCAGGAAAAAGAAAAUAAACUAGCAUCGAUAUUACAGUGAAAGAGUAUGAGCACCGACGUCUAGCAAUGAGUGUGUGUGAAUAUGAAUGUAAUGUCGGUGGGAAAUAUGUACUCCCCCAAGCUUAGGCUUUUGGCCUAAGUUGGUCUAUUGCCAGGGAUAGCCUGGCGGAUACCCGUAGGUCUAGCUGGGGUCGUACUGUGACAAAGAAGGCUCCGACUGCCACAGGCUGGCAACCUCCUCUGGAUCCCAAGAAUAAACAGAUAGUCGUGGAGGCUCAUCUUGUGGCUCCGGUUCCGGGGCUGGUGUAGGAUUCCGAUAGACUUGAGCGGCCGACCACGGAAUGAUGUGAGGACCUGCAGAUAAGUUAAACAAAGAAGGAGCAGGCAAAGUAAUAGUCUCAGGGUGAUGUUUAUCAAAGUAUAAUUUAUAUUUGAGCUCCCCUUCACGACUCUUAACAAGAAAGUCAUGUGCUAUCAUGCUCUUAUAAUCUAAAUAAGCAUGGGGCAACGAUGUUUCUUCUUUCUCCUCAUGCCUAAUAGGUAUUUCAAAAUAUUCAGCUAAGCGCGAAGCAUAAAUGCCUCCAAAGAUAGGGCCCUUAGUACGGUUCAGACUUAACCGUCUAGCAACAAUUCCACCCAUACUAACAGAGUUAUUGCGGUAUAAACCAUGGAACAAAAUAAUAAUAUUAGGAAUACUAAGGUUUCCACAGUUCCCGCGUCCAAUCAAGCAACGACUAGCAAAUAAGGCAAAGUAGCGUAAAACAGGAAAAUGUAUGCUAGUAAUCCUUGCAUCAGAAACCUUCUUGGUUUCUCCCACAUUGAUAGUGUUAAUAAAAGCUUCUACUUCGUUACAGUGUGGUUCAUCUAAGGUGCCCUCAAAGGGUAUUUUGCAAACCUCGCAAAAUUCAGCUAAUGUCAUCUCUUUAACAACGUCAUAUAAAUGAAACUCUACUGUUGGAGGUGAUUUCUUAGGGAAAAAGUAGAAGUUUUGCACAAAAGUAUUUGUGAGUAAGAGAUACUGAUGAUGUUGGUCGCGGAGGAAGUCGGUGAGGCCAGCAUUCUCAAUCAAUAAAUAGAAAUCCUCAUAAAUCCCAGCUCUCCUCAAGAAGUGAUCGGGAGGCCAUUCACACGGCCGGACCUCCGCGGUGCGAGGCAAAUUAAAUUUGGGCUUCUGUUCUUCUUCCUUUUGUUUUUCCUUCGAGCUUCGGCUCGACGAGCCCCUCAAAAGUCUCUUCAUUAUUUUCUGAAAUAAUCUGAAAUUUUUAGUAACUUCAAAUAAAAGUGAACCAACUUCAAUAAAAUUGAUAGCAACAACUCCCACGAGUGCCUAGAGCCUAUAUCAAGCAUUAGAACUACUUGGAACCAAAUAAAUUUGACAUGCAAGCUCAAGAACAUGGUCACCUAUGCAACACAAAUUUGCAAUGAAUAAAGAACUAGAACAAAAACUAAUUGGACGAAUGGAGGAGUCACAUACCAAGGAACAAUCUCCCCAAGCAGUUUUGCGAGAGGUGCUUUGAGCAAGGAGAUCAAAAAUCACAGCACGGGGGAUGGAACUCGUGCUUGAGUUGGUUUUUCGUGUUUAUGUGAGGCAGAGGAAGAAGAUGGGUGUAGGAAUAAGUGGAGGAGGGCCACCAUGGGCCCACGAGGCAGGGGGCGCGCCCAGGGGGGUAGGGCGCGCCCUCCACCCUCGUGGCCAGGUGGCAGCUCCCCCGCAGUAAUUUUUGCACAGUAAAUCCUCAAAUAUUACCGAAAAAAUCAUACUAAAUUGGCAUGGCAUUCUGAGGACUUUUAUUUUCGGGAUAUUUUUAUAUUGCACGGAUAAGUUAGGAAACAGACAGAAAAAUACUAUUUUACUUUAUUUCUACUAAAUAAUAGAAAAUAUAAAAAGGGUACAGAAGGUUGUGCUUCUAGUUUCAUCCAUCUCGUGGUCAUCAAAAUGAACCCACUAACAAGGUUGAUCAAGUCUUGUUAACAAACUCAUUCCGAAUAAUCACGAAACUGGAGAAAUUUCGAAUAACACUAAGUUACCUCAACGGGGAUAUGAAAAUCCCCAACAAUAAGAAUAUCGUACUUUUUCUUGACAGUAGGGAGAGGAAAUUCAAAACCUCCAAAUAUAAUCGAUGGAAUUUUUCCAAUAGAGUUGAUACUAUAAACUUGAGGUUGUUUCCUCGGAAAGUGUAUCGUGUGCUCAUUGCCAUUAACAUGAAAAGUGACAUUGCCUUUGUUGCAAUCAAUAACAGCCCCUGCAGUAUUAAGGAAAGGUCUUCCAAGAAUAAUAGACAUACUACCAUCCUCGGGAAUAUCAAGAAUAACAAAGUCCGUUAAAAUAGUAACGUUCGCAACUACAACAGGCACAUCCUCACAAAUACCGACAGGUAUAGCGGUUGAUUUAUCAGGCAUUUGCAAAGAUAUUUCAGUAGGUGUUAACUUAUUCAAGUCAAGUCUACGAUAUAAAUAGAGAGGCAUAACACUAACACCGGCUCUAAUAUCACAUAAAGCAGUUUUAACAUAAUUUCUCUUAAUGGAGCAUGGUAUAGUAGGUACUCCUGGAUCUCCAAGUUUCUUUGGUAUUCCACCCUUAAAAGUAUAAUUAGCAAGCAUGGUGGAAAUUUCAGCUUCCGUUAUCUUUCUUUUAUUAGUAAUGAUAUCCUUCAUAUACUUAGCAUAAGGAUUUGUUUUGAGCACAUUAGUUAAUCGCAUACGCAAAAACAUGGGUCUAAUCAUUUCAGCAAAACACUCAAAAUCCUCAUCAUCCUUUUUCUUGGAUGGUUUCGGAGGAAAAGGCAAGGGCUUCUGAACCCAUGGUUCCCUUUCUUUACCAUGUUUCCUAGCAACGAAGUCUCUUUUAUCACAAUGUUGAUUCCUUGAUUGUGGGUUAUCAAGAUCAACAGCAGGUUCAACUUCUACAUCAUUAUCAUUACUAGGUUGAGCAUCAUCAUGAACAAUAUCAUUAACAUUAUCACUAGGUUCAUGUUCAUCACCUGAUUGUGUUUCAGCAUCAGAAAUAGAAAUAUCAUUUGGAUUCUCAGGUGGUUCAGCAAUAGGUUCGCUAGAAGUUUGCAAAGUCCUAUCAUUUUUCUUUUUCUUCCUUUUAGAAGAACUAGGUACAUCAAUAUUAUUUCUCUGAGAAUCUUGCUCGAUUCUCUUAGGGUGGCCUUCAGGAUACAAAGGUUCCUGAGUCAUUCUACCAAUUCUAGUAGCCACUCUAACAACAUAAUAAUUUUUCUUACUAUUCAUUUCAUCAAGCACUUCUUUCUGAGCUUUAAGUACUUGUUCUACUUGAGUGGUAACCAUAGAAGCAUGUUUGCUAACAAGUUUAAGUUCACCUCUAAUAUCAGCCAUAUAAUCACCCAAGCGUUUAAUCAUAAAGGUAUUCUGUUUUAAUUGUCUACCAAAAUAAGCAUUAAAGUCAUCUUGCUUAAACAUAAAGUCAUCAAACUCAUCCAAGCACUGACUAGCAAUUUUAGUAGGAGGGACUUCAGCUUUAUCAUAUCUAUAGAGAGAAUUUACCUUUACUACCUGUGUCGGGAUAUCAAGAUCAGGAGGUUCUUCAGUGAAUAAGGAAUUGAGAUCAUAUACUUCUUCAGCAGGCGGUAAAUUAAGACCGUGUAUUUCUUCAAUAGGAGGUAAAUUCUUAACAUCUUCGGCUCUAAUACCUUUUUCUUUCAUAGAUUUCUUUGCCUCUUGCAUAUCUUCGGGAUUGAGAAAUAGAACACCUCUCUUUUUCGGAGUUGGUUUAGAAAUAGGCUCAGUAAUUGGCUCUGGAGCUGGCUCAGGAGGUGGCUCGGGAGGUGCCCAAUUAUUUUCAUUUGUCAACAUAUUAUUCAAUAGAAUUUCAGCUUCAUCCGGUGUUCUUUCCCUGAAAAGAGAACCAGCACAACUAUCCAGGUAAUCUCUGGAAGCAUCAGUUAGUCCAUUAUAAAAGAUAUCAAGUAUUUCAGGUUUCUUAAGAGGAUGAUCAGGCAAAGCAUUAAGUAACUUGAGAAGCCUCCCCAAGCUUGUGGGAGACUCUCUUCUUCAAUUUGCACGAAGUUGUAUAUUUCCCUCAAAGCAGCUUGUUUCUUAUGAGCAGGGAAAUAUUUAGUAGAGAAGUAAUAAAUCAUAUCCUGGGGACUAUGCACACAACCAGGAUCAAGAGAAUUAAACCAUAUCUUAGCAUCACCCUUUAAUGAGAACGGAAAUAUUUUGAGUAAAUAAAGGUAGCGCGAUCUCUCAUCAUUAGUAAACAGGGCGGCUAUAUAAUUUAACUUAGUAAGAUGUGCCACAACAGUUUCAGAUUCAUAGCCAUAGAAAGGAUUAGAUUCAACCAAAGUAAUUAUAUCUGGAUCAACAGAAAAUUCAUAAUAAUCCUUAUCGGGAACACAGAUAGGUGAAGUAGCAAAAGCAGGGUCAGGUCUCAUCCUAUCUCUAAGAAAUUCUUUACUCCAUUUAACUAGCAGCCUCUUAAGUUCAUAUCUAUCAUGGCAAGCAAAAAAAGCUGCAGAAAAUUCAGCAUCUAAAAGAUAACCCUCAGGAAUAGCAGGCAUAUUCUCAUCAUCACUAUCAUCAUCAUAUUCAGGUUCAAUAAUUUCUCUUUCUCUAGACCUAGCAAUUUGUUCAUCAAGAAAUUCACCAAGGGGCACAGUAGUAUCGAGCAUAGAAGUAGUUUCAUCAUAAGUAUCAUGCAUAGCAGAAGUGGCAUCAUCAAUAACAUGCGACAUAUCAGAUUCAUAGCAGUAGCAGGUUUAGGUGUCGCAAGCUUACUUAUAACAGAAGGAGAAUCUAGUGCAGAGCUAGAUGGCAGUUCCUUACCUCCCCUCGUAGUUGAGGGCAAAAUAGUAGUUCGAUCGUGUUUCAAGUUCUUCAUAGUGUCCAGCGGAUAUAAAUCCCAAGUGACUCAAAGAAUAGAGCUAUGCUCCCCGGCAACGGCGCCAGAAAAAGGUCUUGAUAACCCACAAGUAUAGGGGAUCGCAACAGUUUUCGAGGGUAGAGUAUUCAACCCAAAUUUAUUGAUUUGACACAAGGGGAGCCAAAGAAUAUUCUCAAGUAUUAGCAGCUGAGUUGUCAAUUCAACCACACCUGGAAACUUAGUAUCUGCAGCAAAGUGUUUAGUAGCAAAGUAAUAUGAUAGUGGUGGUAAUGGUAACAAAAGUAAAGACAACAAAAGUAAUGUUUUUGGUAUUUUGUAGUGAUUGUAACAGUAGCAACGGAAUAGUAAAUAAGCUAGAACCAAUAUAUGGAAAACUCGUAGGCACCGGAUUAGUGAUGGAUAAUUAUGCCGGAUGCGGUUCAUCCUUUAACAGUCAUAACAUAGGGUGACACGGAACUAGCUUCAAUUCAUCAAUGUAAUGUAGGCAUGUAUUCCGUAUAUAGUCAUACGUGCUUAUGGAAAAGAACUUGCAUGACAUCUUUUGUCCUACCCUCCCGUGGCAGCGGGGUCCUAUUGGACUAAGGGAUAUUAAGGCCUCCUUUUAAUAGAGAACCGGAACAAAGCAUUAGCACAUAGUGAAUACAUGAACUCCUCAAACUAUGGUCAUCACCGGGAGUGGUCCCGAUUAUUGUCACUUCGGGGUUGCCGGAUCAUAACACAUAGUAGGUGACUAUAGACUUGCAAGAUAGGAUCAAGAACUCACAUAUAUUCAUGAAAACAUAAUAGGUUCAGAUCUGAAAUCAUGGCACUCGGGCCCUAGUGACAAGCAUUAAGCAUAGCAAAGUCAUAGCAACAUCAAUCUCAGAACAUAGUGGAUACUAGGGAUCAAACCCUAACAAAACUAACUCGAUUACAUGAUAAAUCUCAUCCAACCCAUCACCGUCCAGCAAGCCUACGAUGGAAUUACUCACGCACGGCGGUGAGCAUCAUGAAAUUGGUGAUGGAGGAUGGUUGAUGAUGACGACGGCGACGAAUCCCCCUCUUCGGAGCCCCGAACAGAGUCCAGAUCAGCCCUCCCGAGAGAGAUUAGGGAUUGGCGGCGGCUCCGUAUCGUAAAACGUGAUGAUUUCUUCUCUUUGGUUUUUUUCUCCCCGAAAGCCAAUAUAUGGAGUUGGAGUUGGCAUCGGAGGGCCACCAGGGUCCCACAAGGUAGGGGGCGCGCCCUAGGGGCGGGGGGCGCCCCCCACCCUCGUGAACAGGGUGUGGGCCCCCUGGCCUUCAUCUUUGGCGAGGAUUUUUUAUUGUUUUUUCUAAGAGGUUCCGUGGAGUUUCAGGUCAUUCCGAGAACUUUUAUUUCUGCACAUAAAACAACACCAUGGCGAUUCUGCUGAAAACAACGUCAGUCCGGGUUAGUUGCACUCAAAUCAUACAAGCUAGAGUCCAAAACAGGGGCAAAAGUAUUUGGGAAAGUAGAUACGACGAAGACGUAUCAACAGGCAUGUUUCCUAAUUCUAUAUCUUUCCCUAAUAAUAAAGCGACUAUGGUUUCAGGUCAUACGUCGUUACCAAUCUUGCAGAAAAGCCCCUCUAUUUCUUAGAAUUCAACCCACAGUCCCUUGUUAAGUGGAUCCGAGAAAAUGCUUCAUUUUUGCGGAAAACACCCUAUCAUUUAGGUUAUUCAACCCACGGUCCGAGCAGAUUUGUGUGAAGAAAAAAACCACCACAGGAGGAGCACGGGCUCUCCUGCUCUCCCUCUCGCCCAAGUCCUCACCGCCGCCACCACCACCCAUGCUGCCAACUUCUGGCGAGCUCUGGCGCCGCACAACACACCCUCGAGGUCCCCAUGGCCCGCGCCUCCGUCCCCUUCGGACAGAUUCUCCGCUCCCGGCCUCUACCGUCUGGUCGCAAACCCACCCCUAUGGCUAGGGUUUUGGGAAGGGCUUCGCCGACGCGUCUCCGGCGGCCCCAAGUCUGUGCCUCUUCCUUCCUGGUCGGGAUCCACCACCCCUACACCUCACCUUCUCUUCAGCUUCUGCAGCACUCCAUGGGAGUUCCCCAUCCACUUUAUGGAGAUGUGAAUGACGCCAUGGACCUGCAGCUCAUUUUCUCCUCCACCACGGACGUCGCGUCACCCUUCCAAGCCGCCGACCACCCUACAAGAGGUGUCGUGGAAUUGUCAGGUCAGAUGUCCUAGUGAAAGGACUUAGUCAUGGAGCCAUCGCAACUAGGAAGCUUAAAGGGGUUAAUCGGGACAAAGGACACGGGGUUUAUACUAGUUCGGCCCCUUACGGUGAAGGUAAAAGCCUACGAUCGAGUUUUGAGUGGGAUUGCUUAUGUCUCGAUUACCAAGGAGCGAAAUCGCUUGACCUAGCUCUCGAUCUGAUGUUACUUGCCCUGAACCGCCGCCGAGUCGUCUCUUUAUAUACAGAGGUCGACGCGCAGAAAUAGAUCACAAGAACCCUUGGCGGCUUACCGCAGGGCGGGUCAUAGUAUUUAUAUA
Molecule: long non-coding RNA, 34709 nt
Filed under: Triticum aestivum (bread wheat)
Lineage: Eukaryota; Viridiplantae; Streptophyta; Magnoliopsida; Poales; Poaceae
Description: long non-coding RNA (TAES_LNC027322)
Source: RNAcentral